UCUCUUCACUCCUCGAACACUAAAACGCUCUACAGAUGUGCUCCCUUCUCUCCGAUCAGUUCACCGGAGAAGAAGGCGGCGGACGGCCGUCCGUGACGGCGCCGCCCCUACUUUCUUAUGAUCCACCCACACGAAACCCUAUCCUACAUAAAAACCCACUAUGAGUUCGAAUUCGAACUCUUAUUUCCCAACAACAACCCCAAUCGUCCAGAUCGGGGGUUUCGAUCGAAACCCUAACACCACAAUUAAACCAAUGGCAACAAGGAUUUCAAGCGAACAAGAAAAUAGAUUUGGCGUACAUUAACGAGACGGACACGAAGGCCAUGUGAAAAGGAGAAAAGGAGAGAAAAGGAAAUACCAAAUCGGAGCUAGUUUUACGGCCACGAUUACAACGAACCCAGGUCACGACGACAUGGGUACCCAAGUGGGAAAAUGGCUUAAUGUAGGGGUAUUGAGAAGGGAGUUUUGAUUAGGUGUAAACGAAAAAAUUAUGAAUAUUAGGGACAUGUUUUAUGUUGUAGUGAAUAAAACACCUCAGUUGUACCAUAACAUCAUUUGUGCGUCAAAUGAUAACUUCAAUGUAAAUUUAUUUAGUUUUUCUAAACAAUGCUUAAUGUAACCUUGAAAGGAAAAUUUUAAGACCAAUGUUUCUUUCCUUAAA
Lathyrus oleraceus (garden pea) is the source of this 661-nucleotide long non-coding RNA. RefSeq lists it as uncharacterized. The transcript is spliced from 2 exons. The record is from RefSeq and is a predicted model, not a curated record. NCBI's taxonomy places the organism in Eukaryota, Viridiplantae, Streptophyta, Magnoliopsida, Fabales, Fabaceae.